UGGCAGGAUGGCCUAGUCCAUCUCCACAGCUGUAGUAGAUAAAGUGUGCGCAGCUGGGAUCAUCAUCUUGAUGCACCUGGUUCACUGGGCGGUGCUACACUGCAUUAUAUCAAGGAGGGCUGCAUGUUGUCUACACACGUCCUCUACCUGAAGCUGAAGUGUUUUCAGCAGUGCUGGUUGCCGUGGCGGUCUCGAGGCGCUGGCGGAGUAUUUUUGUCUACCUACCUGUCAGACGUCGGCCCAUAUCCUGGCCGAAAGUUGGGAGCCGGGUGUGUGUGGCUUCGGAGCUGGGCAUAACCGAGGCAUCGCCUUGAAUUUGUGAGAGAGCCGUAGCACAAGACCCGUCCACUGAUGAAGGAUCUGAGUUUUCUUUCCAUCAUCUUCAAAACAGAGUGAACCUCUCGGGGCCAAAAUACAAGCCUGUAGUCGACAGCAUGCAGUGUCAAACAUCUCAUUAAAGCAGUGAUCCGUCUCCAUCUGGUGGCAGAAAUUAAAACUCCAAUUCUCGUCUUCUUAGAUUGAACCUCUUCAUCUUGGCUAAAUCCAGAGACUGACUUCCUGCAGACACACCUGCUGGGUUGGAUUACAGUGAUAAAAUCAGUUUCAGAGUCAAAGACUUACAGCAGAGUUUGUCAUUUAAAGGAAAGUCUUGAUGGAUCACACUGGAGGAGGAGAAGGAGGAGGAUGAAGAGGAGGAGGAAGAGGAAAAGGAGGACCUCGUUCACAGUGACGACCACGCCUGAAUCCUGCUGUUCAUGAAUUUUGUUAUUUUGCAAUAAAGCAUACUGUUCAAAAUCCUGUUUUUAUUUUCUUUGUUACUGAUGGAAUAUGAACUGAACUAUCUUUUAUUUGUAGGAAGUAAAGAAGAGCAAAUGAAA
Acanthochromis polyacanthus (spiny chromis) is the source of this 878-nucleotide long non-coding RNA. RefSeq lists it as uncharacterized. NCBI's taxonomy places the organism in Eukaryota, Metazoa, Chordata, Actinopteri, Pomacentridae. The transcript is spliced from 6 exons. The record is from RefSeq and is a predicted model, not a curated record.